CUGGGACUAUAGGUUGGGCUUGAAGGAGAAUAUGAUGGAGAUGUUGGAGAGUACGAAGGUGACGUAGGACUGCAAAAACAAGACCACAUUUAAUCACGUCAUUAGUAAUAUACCAAGAGCCAGUCAGAAAUCUACCAAUACAAACCCCGACGAUUUCAGAAACUAACUAGUUAUAAUGAAACUGACUUUAAACCAGAGAUAAAUUAGGUAAAGCAGCGUAAUUAAGAUUAAGGCACUAGUAAAGUCGAUGUAUUAUUAUCGAACAGAGGCAACUUGAGCCUUUCCUGUCCGGCAAACGAAUCAAGACACCUGUAUCAAACAAAGGUUGUUUACCUGUAACUUGGAGAUGACGGGCUGUAAGGACUAGAAGGAGACAGCUUCGGGCUGGUUGGCGAAUAUGCAAGGGAGGGGCUGUAUCUUGCCGAGGGAUUGUAACUUGGUGAUGUAGGACUGUAGGAUGGUGAUGUUGGGCUAUAGCUGGGAGAUGUUGGGCUGUAACCAGGGGAGGUAGGACUGUAUGCAGGAGAAGUCGGACUAUAUGAAGGGGAAGUUGGACUAUAAGUUGGUGAGGUGGGGCUAUAUGAAGGCGACGUGGGGCUGUAUGAAGGUGAAGUGGGACUGUAAGAUGGGGAAGUGGGGCUGUAAGAUGGAGAAGUGGGGCUAUAGGCAGGAGAAGUAGGGCUGUAGGCAGGAGAAGUAGGACUGUAAGCAGGAGAAGUAGGACUAUAACUGGGCGAUGUUGGGCUAUAGCUAGGUGAUGUUGGGCUGUAGCUCGGAGAUGUUGGGCUAUAACUGGGUGAUGUGGGUGAGUAUGAUGGACUGGUUGGAGAAUAUGCUGGACUUGUUGGGCUGUAGCCAGGGGAGCUUGGGCUAUAAGUGGGGGAAGUUGGGCUGUACCCAGGGGAUGUGGGGCUGUAGCCCGGGGAAGUGGGGCUGUAACCUGGAGAGGUCGGGCUAUAACCAGGGGAUGAUGGACUAUAACCAGGGGAUGACGGGCUGUAUCCAGGGGAUGAAGUGGG
This 1019-nucleotide long non-coding RNA is filed under the name Capsicum annuum. RNAcentral's name for it is "long non-coding RNA (CANN_LNC003607)". Lineage: Eukaryota; Viridiplantae; Streptophyta; Magnoliopsida; Solanales; Solanaceae. The record is from RNAcentral.